UCCUCGCUCAAAGAAUCGCAUUCAAAGCUUACGCACAGAGGAAGUCUUCCUUCUUCAUACCAUUACUCCUAGCUUUGGGAGAAAGUCCCCGGACACCCUGCGCCCUCGUCUUAAAACCACGAGGGUUCCUCAUCCAACAAGCCAGGCACUGCGGAAACGCGCCGCCAUAGAAGCAUUUUUCAUAGCGGCUUACGCCUCUUUUUCCCUUCCCUUCCUCUUUUCUCUCGGGGAAAGAAGAAGGGCUCGUCUCCGUUCUAGCCCGACUCUUCAGAUGUUUUAUUCUGUGGAGGAAACAAUGGUGGUUUAGAUGGGGCGGGGUCUUUUUGACGAAGGGGGAGGUUGCUAUUCGUCGUGGUUCGAUAGUCAUGCGAUUGCUUGGCUUCCCGCGUGUAUUUUUUUUAUUAUAUAUGUGUGGAGCCGGGUAACUCGAUGGGGCUUAUUCUUGAGGCGAGG
The sequence is an RNase MRP RNA, 453 nucleotides long. It matches the Rfam family "RNase MRP". Rfam says of the family: RNase MRP is an enzymatically active ribonucleoprotein with two distinct roles in eukaryotes. In mitochondria it plays a direct role in the initiation of mitochondrial DNA replication.